Molecule: ribosomal RNA, 292 nt
Filed under: uncultured bacterium
Lineage: Bacteria
Description: partial 16S ribosomal RNA
Rfam family: Bacterial small subunit ribosomal RNA
Source: RNAcentral
GUGUCAGCCGCCGCGGUAAUACGAAGGGGGCUAGCGUUGCUCGGAAUGACUGGGCGUAAAGGGCGCGUAGGCGGCUUGUUUAGUCAGGCGUGAAAUUCCUGGGCUUAACCUGGGGGCUGCGCUUGAUACAGGCAGGCUUGAGUGCGGAAGAGGGUCGUGGAAUUCCCAGUGUAGAGGUGAAAUUCGUAGAUAUUGGGAAGAACACCGGUGGCGAAGGCGGCGACCUGGUCCGUGACUGACGCUGAGGCGCGAAAGCGUGGGGAGCAAACAGGAUUAGAAACCCUGGUAGUCC